Molecule: ribosomal RNA, 253 nt
Filed under: uncultured bacterium
Lineage: Bacteria
Description: partial 16S ribosomal RNA
Rfam family: Bacterial small subunit ribosomal RNA
Source: RNAcentral
UACGUAGGGUGCAAGCGUUGUCCGGAAUUAUUGGGCGUAAAGAGCUCGUAGGCGGUCUGUUGCGUCGGCUGUGAAAACCCGAGGCUCAACCUCGGGCCUGCAGCCGAUACGGGCAGACUAGAGUUCGGCAGGGGAGACUGGAAUUCCUGGUGUAGCGGUGAAAUGCGCAGAUAUCAGGAGGAACACCGGUGGCGAAGGCGGGUCUCUGGGCCGAGACUGACGCUGAGGCGCGAAAGCGUGGGGAGCAAACAGG